GUAUGGGGCCAGGUAUGGGGUGUGGGGUCAGAUAUAGGGUGAGGUGUGGGGUGUGGGGUCAGGUGAGGGGAAUGGGGUCAGGUAUAUGGUAUGGGGUCAGGUAUGGGAUAUAGGGUCAGCUAUGGGGUCAGGAAUGGGGUCAGGUAUGGGGUAUGGGGUCAGAUAUGGGGUAUAUGGGGUCAGGUAUGGGAUAUGGGGUCAGGUAUGGGGUCAGGUAUGGGGUCAGGUAUGGGAUGUGGGGUCAGAUAUGGGGUAUAUGGGGUCAGGUAUGGGAUAUGGGGUCAGGUAUGGGAUAUAGGGUCAGCUAUGGGAUAUAGGGUCAGCUAUGGGGUCAGGUAUGGGGUCAGGUAUGGGGGUGUGGGGUCAGAUAUGGGGUAUAUGGGGUCAGGUAUGGGGUAUAGGGUGGGGUAUGGGGUCAGGGAUGGGGUUAUGGGGGGGUAUGGGGUCAGGCGGGUGGUAUGGGGUCAGAUAUGGGAUAUAGGGCGGGAUUUGGCGUCAGGGGUGGGAUAUGGGGUUAGGGGUGGGAUAUAGGGUGGAAUAUGGAGUCAGGGGUGGCGUAUGGGGUGGGAUAUGGGGUCAGAUAUGGGAUACAGGGUGGGAAUAUGGGGUCAGCUAUGAGGUGUGGGAUAUGGGGUCAAGGGUGGGAUAUGGGGUGGGAUAUGGGGUCAGAUAUGGGAUAUGGGGC
This is a long non-coding RNA of Lagopus muta (rock ptarmigan), 685 nucleotides long. RefSeq lists it as uncharacterized. The record is from RefSeq and is a predicted model, not a curated record. The transcript has 3 exons. Lineage: Eukaryota; Metazoa; Chordata; Aves; Galliformes; Phasianidae.